RNAcentral lists this ribosomal RNA (292 nucleotides) under uncultured bacterium. RNAcentral describes it as "partial 16S ribosomal RNA". It matches the Rfam family "Bacterial small subunit ribosomal RNA", at positions 505 to 796 of the family's 1533-position model. The record is from RNAcentral.
GUGCCAGCAGCCGCGGUAAGACGUACCACCCAAACGUUAUUCGGAAUCACUGGGCUUACAGAGUCCGUAGGCGGCUCGGAAAGUUGGGCGUGAAAUACCUCAGCUCAACUGAGGAAUAGCGCUCAAAACUACCGAGCUGGAGAGAGACAGAGGUGAGCGGAACUGAUGGUGGAGCGGUGAAAUGCGUUGAUAUCAUCAGGAACACCGGUGGCGAAGGCGGCUCACUGGGUCUUUUCUGACGCUGAGGGACGAAAGCUAGGGUAGCGAACGGGAUUAGAAACCCUUGUAGUCC